Molecule: ribosomal RNA, 284 nt
Filed under: Xanthomonas citri pv. citri
Lineage: Bacteria; Pseudomonadati; Pseudomonadota; Gammaproteobacteria; Lysobacterales; Lysobacteraceae
Description: partial 23S ribosomal RNA
Rfam family: Bacterial large subunit ribosomal RNA
Source: RNAcentral
UGAUAUUGAAUGUUGGUACAGCUUGUACAGGAUAGGUAGGAGCCUUGGAAACCGGAGCGCCAGCUUCGGUGGAGGCAUCGGUGGGAUACUACCCUGGCUGUAUUGACCUUCUAACCCGCCGCCCUUAUCGGGCGGGGAGACAGUGUCAGGUGGGCAGUUUGACUGGGGCGGUCGCCUCCUAAAAGGUAACGGAGGCGCCCAAAGGUUCCCUCAGAAUGGUUGGAAAUCAUUCGCAGAGUGUAAAGGCACAAGGGAGCUUGACUGCGAGACCUACAAGUCGAGCA